Canis lupus familiaris (dog) is the source of this 893-nucleotide long non-coding RNA. RefSeq lists it as uncharacterized. NCBI's taxonomy places the organism in Eukaryota, Metazoa, Chordata, Mammalia, Carnivora, Canidae. The record is from RefSeq and is a predicted model, not a curated record. The transcript has 3 exons.
UAAAGAAUCAUACGUAAAAAGAUGAGAAGAAAUGAUAGAAACAGAAAACCACAUUUACAAACCAUAAUGGAUCUAGACGAAGGUCAUCAAUAGUUGCUAAAACCAUUAGUGAGCUGCUGUGGGGAUAGUGUACACCAGAAGCAGUGAGAGUGGCCCUGCCCAGCUCCUUUCCUGGGAACUACGGGAUCUCAGCAUCAAGCUGCCAGAGUUUUGAACUGCAAUCUGUUUGGGGAACAUGGACAGACUCCUUCAUACCCAGUGGAUUUCAUGUCUCUGGAUUUCUACCAUUGGGUUUUCCAGGAUCUUCUAUCACUUCUCUCGGUAACCCACAGUGAGGCACCUCCCCUUGCUAUGCUCAUUACCCAGGGGAAGAAUCUGGAGAGGAAAAGAGAGCCAUUGUAAGUGAAACACUUUCCAGGUCCAGAUAUUAGGCAAGUUUUGAGCCUCCUUGGACCAAGUUUUCUUCACCUACUCAUGCACUGUGUCAAAUUGGGUAAUUAGGAAGGUUCAUUGGGAAUCCAAAAUGCUCAGGGUCUAUGAAAAGGUGGGAACGAUGUCAUCUAUGUCAUCUACUCUGCAUUACUCAGUGACGUCAGAUUAUUUAAGGCCUGUGUGUCACACCUGUAUUUGACAAGGACCUGUAGAAGUACACAGAUGUACUUCUAGAGAGUGCUUGAAAUGAGAGGUGAAAGUGGACAUGGAUGUCACUGAAAAGGGAAAAUGCAGAAGCAAGAUAGUUUGGCUACUAUCAAUUUCUGAAAUAUAAAGAUGUGAGACUGCUUGGGUGUUGCUUUGGCUUGAGAAAUAAAUGGUAGGUUUACUCCACAAAUCCAAUAUCUUUAAACAUCUGGAGACACUCCAAGAUUCCUGGGGCAGGAGAAUAACAAAAUCAC